AGCACAUAAGGCCAAAAAAUUUAUUUUUAUCCAUUUUCACCACAUUUUCUUUAGUGAACAGAAGGAAGAAGAAGAGAGUAUGACUUUGUACUAAUUAGAAAAACAAAGAUAAAAGUGGACAUUUUGAAAUUGGACAUUUUAUGGGUACCUUUUGUUCUUUUUCUUCUGUUUUUAUCCAACACCGUUUUUCUUGUGACUUGCUUCACCUGCUUGUGUCCUCACCUCGUUUUAUCAGCUGUCUGUAGCUGCUUCUGACCUAUCUCACAGGCAUGGGAUGUGGCAACCACAGGUGUCAGCAGCUCUUCACAGCUGAUAGAGCCAUGCUUUCACUUGAUUUUCCCCCAUUAAAAAGAGAAAAACACAAACACCUGUUUUGACUCAUCUCCCUUCCUUUUCUCCAAUUGCAAAUUAAACUGACAAGCUGGCUGGACAGUGGCAGAGGGGAUUUACUUUUCAGUCAAAUUAUUUUAGUCUCUUUUUUGCCAGUGUAUUCUCUACCUGUCAUUUCCUCCAUGUAAGUUUUUGACAGCUAGAAUUGUUUUUAUUGUACAUUCCAGUCUGUGCUUUUAAUAGCUAAGGUUUUUUUUUUUUUUUCACUUCCUAGAUUUAACUAGCCUAAAAUAACUGUCUGACCUCCAUUUUGAGCUAUGUUGCUAAAGUUACAAAUAUCUACCCUGGAUUUU
This 683-nucleotide long non-coding RNA is filed under the name Bos taurus (domestic cattle). RNAcentral's name for it is "long non-coding RNA NONBTAT018617". Lineage: Eukaryota; Metazoa; Chordata; Mammalia; Artiodactyla; Bovidae. The record is from RNAcentral.